GAUGAACGCUAGCUACAGGCUUAACACAUGCAAGUCGAGGGGCAGCAUUUAGUUUGCUUGCAAACUAAAGAUGGCGACCGGCGCACGGGUGAGUAACACGUAUCCAACCUGCCGAUAACUCUGGGGAUAGCCUUUCGAAAGAAAGAUUAAUACCGGAUGGCAUAGGAUUAUCGCAUGAUAAUCCCUAUUAAAGAAUUUCGGUUAUCGAUGGGGAUGCGUUCCAUUAGGCAGUAGGCGGGGUAACGGCCCACCUAGCCGACGAUGGAUAGGGGUUCUGAGAGGAAGGUCCCCCCACAUUGGAACUGAGACACGGUCCAAACUCCUACGGGAGGCAGCAGUGAGGAAUAUUGGUCAAUGGGCGAGAGCCUGAACCAGCCAAGUCGCGUGGAGGAAGACGGCCCUACGGGUUGUAAACUCCUUUUACCUGGGAAUAACGGGCGCUACGCGUAGCGCUGUGCAUGUACCGGGAGAAUAAGCAUCGGCUAAUUCCGUG
RNAcentral lists this ribosomal RNA (493 nucleotides) under uncultured bacterium. RNAcentral's name for it is "bacterial SSU rRNA". It matches the Rfam family "Bacterial small subunit ribosomal RNA", at positions 28 to 507 of the family's 1533-position model. The record is from RNAcentral.